CCUACGGGUGGCAGCAGUGAGGAAUAUUGGUCAAUGGCCGAAAGUCUGAACCAGCCAUGCCGCGUGCAGGAAGACGGCCCUAUGAGUUGUAAACUGCUUUUGUACGGGGGUAAACGCAGAUACGCGUAUCUGUCUGAGAGUAUCGUACGAAUAAGCAUCGGCUAACUCCGUGCCAGCAGCCGCGGUAAUACGGAGGAUUCAAGCGUUAUCCGGAUUUAUUGGGUUUAAAGGGUGCGUAGGCGGUCGGAUAAGUUAGAGGUGCAAUCCCGGGGCUCAACUUCGGAAUUGCCUCUGAUACUGUUCGUCUAGAGAGUAGUUGCGGUAGGCGGAAUGCAUGGUGUAGCGGUGAAAUGCUGAGAGAUCAUGCAGAACACCGAUUGCGAAGGCAGCUUACCAAGCUACUACUGACGUUGAGGCACGAAAGCGUGGGGAGCAAACAGGAUUAGAUACCCGAGUAGUC
Molecule: ribosomal RNA, 460 nt
Filed under: uncultured bacterium
Lineage: Bacteria
Description: partial 16S ribosomal RNA
Rfam family: Bacterial small subunit ribosomal RNA
Source: RNAcentral